This 394-nucleotide unclassified non-coding RNA is filed under the name uncultured fungus. RNAcentral describes it as "sequence contains ITS2". The stretch from base 1 to 52 matches the Rfam family "5.8S ribosomal RNA", at positions 103 to 154 of the family's 154-position model. Lineage: Eukaryota; Fungi. The record is from RNAcentral.
AACGCACAUUGCGCCUUCCGGUAUUCCGGGAGGCAUGCCUGUCUGAGCGUCAGUAUAAACCCUCAUCUUAAAUAGAAACAGGUUUUCUUUGAGAACUUGUUUGUAUAAGAUGGUCUUGAGCAACGAGAGUCGCGAGUCUAUUCUACGUCAGUAGUUAAAUAACCUCUUGGACUGUCUAGCUUAAAAUUCAUUGGUGCCGAUUGCCGGUCUUGUAAGUGUUAUAGGUAUAUCCAACUCGCUGCCAAGUCUGUGCAUAUUCUGGAUCCAUUAAAAACUGAUGUCUAUUGCAUUUGCUUUUUUACAUUCUUUCUAAGAUUGUAGUAUAGAGUGAUUUGCUAUUGAAUCAACUGAACUAUUUGACCUCAGAUCAGGUAGGGAUACCCGCUGAACUUAA